RNAcentral lists this long non-coding RNA (211 nucleotides) under Lathyrus oleraceus (garden pea). Its description in RNAcentral is "Pisum sativum (pea) long non-coding RNA (PSAT_LNC002883)". The record is from RNAcentral. Lineage: Eukaryota; Viridiplantae; Streptophyta; Magnoliopsida; Fabales; Fabaceae.
ACACCAUUUUCAUUUUCUUUUUUUAAUUCACAUUUAAUUUCUGUUUUAUUUUUAAUUGAUAUAAAAUAUUUUAUUUAUUCAUAAAAAUAUCAAAAAAUAUUUUCCAUAUUUCUUAAUGUCUUAUUUAAUUUUUACUUUUGUAUUUAUUUAAUAUUAAUAUUUUAUUUUAAUUAUUUAUUCUAAGUGGUUCAUUUUAACACACAUAUUUUUC